RNAcentral lists this ribosomal RNA (373 nucleotides) under uncultured organism. RNAcentral's name for it is "partial 16S ribosomal RNA". It matches the Rfam family "Bacterial small subunit ribosomal RNA", at positions 527 to 896 of the family's 1533-position model. The record is from RNAcentral.
GUAGGUGGCAAGCGUUGUCCGGAAUUAUUGGGCGUAAAGCGCGCGCAGGCGGUCCUUUAAGUCUGAUGUGAGAGCCCACGGGCUCAACCGUGGAGGGUCAUUGGAAACUGGGGGACUUGAGUACAGAAGAGGAAAGCGGAAUUCCACGUGUAGCGGUGAAAUGCGUAGAGAUGUGGAGGAACACCAGUGGCGAAGGCGGCUUUCUGGUCUGUAACUGACGCUGAGGCGCGAAAGCGUGGGGAGCAAACAGGAUUAGAUACCCUGGUAGUCCACGCCGUAAACGAUGAGUGCUAAGUGUUAGGGGGUUUCCGCCCCUUAGUGCUGCAGCUAACGCAUUAAGCACUCCGCCUGGGGAGUACGGCCGCAAAGGCUG